CUGAGUACGGCGGAACACGUGAAAUUCCGUCGGAAUCCGGGAGGACCAUCUCCCAAGGCUAAAUACUCCCUAGUGACCGAUAGUGAACCAGUACCGUGAGGGAAAGGUGAAAAGCACCCCGGAAGGGGAGUGAAACAGUUCCUGAAACCGUGUGCCUACAAGUAGUUAGAGCCCGUUAAUGGGUGAUAGCGUGCCUUUUGUAGAAUGAACCGGCGAGUUACGAUUUGUUGCAAGGUUAAGCGGAAAAAGCGGAGCCGUAGCGAAAGCGAGUCUGAAUAGGGCGCAUAAGUAACAGGUCGUAGACCCGAAACCAGGUGAUCUACCCAUGUCCAGGAUGAAGGUAAGGUAAUACUUACUGGAGGUCCGAACCCACGCACGUUGAAAAGUGCGGGGAUGAGGUGUGGGUAGCGGAGAAAUUCCAAUCGAACUUGGAGAUAGCUGGUUCUCUCCGAAAUAGCUUUAGGGCUAGCCUCGAGGUAAAGAGUCAUGGAGGUAGAGCACUGUUUGGACUAGGGGCCCUUCUCGGGUUACCGAAUUCAGAUAAACUCCGAAUGCCAUGUACUUAUACUCGGGAGUCAGACUGCGAGUGAUAAGAUCCGUAGUCGAAAGGGAAACAGCCCAGACCACCAGUUAAGGUCCCCAAAUAUAUGUUAAGUGGAAAAGGAUGUGGGGUUGCUUAGACAACCAGGAUGUUGGCUUAGAAGCAGCCACCAUUGAAAGAGUGCGUAAUAGCUCACUGGUCGAGUGACCCCGCGCCGAAAAUGUACCGGGGCUAAACAUAUUACCGAAACUGUGGAUGAACCUCUUUAGAGGUUCGUGGUAGGAGAGCGUUCUAAGGGCGGUGAAGUCAGACCGGAAGGACUGGUGGAGCGCUUAGAAGUGAGAAUGCCGGUAUGAGUAGCGAAAGAAGGGUGAGAAUCCCUUCCACCGAAUAUCUAAGGUUUCCUGAGGAAGGCUCGUCCGCUCAGGGUUAGUCGGGACCUAAGCCGAGGCCGAUAGGCGUAGGCGAUGGACAACAGGUAGAGAUUCCUGUACCAGUGCUAAUUGUUUAACCGAUGGGGUGACACAGAAGGAUAGGGAAUCGCACGAAUGGAAAUGUGCGUCCAAGCAGUGAGUGUGAGAAGUAGGCAAAUCCGCUUCUCGCGAAGCAUGAGCUGUGAUGGGGAAGGAAAUUAAGUACGGAAGUUCCUGAUUUCACGCUGUCAAGAAAAGCCUCUAGGAAGAGUAGUACUGCCCGUACCGCAAACCGACACAGGUAGAUGAGGAGAGAAUCCUAAGGUGAGCGAGAGAACUCUCGUUAAGGAACUCGGCAAAAUGACCCCGUAACUUCGGGAGAAGGGGUGCUCUAUUAGGGUGCAAGCCCGAGAGAGCCGCAGUGAAUAGGCCCAGGCGACUGUUUAGCAAAAACACAGGUCUCUGCAAAACCGUAAGGUGACGUAUAGGGGCUGACGCCUGCCCGGUGCUGGAAGGUUAAGAGGAGUGCUUAGCUUCGGCGAAGGUACGAAUUGAAGCCCCAGUAAACGGCGGCCGUAACUAUAACGGUCCUAAGGUAGCGAAAUUCCUUGUCGGGUAAGUUCCGACCCGCACGAAAGGCGCAACGAUCUGGGCACUGUCUCAACGAGAGACUCGGUGAAAUUAUAGUACCUGUGAAGAUGCAGGUUACCCGCGACAGGACGGAAAGACCCCGUGGAGCUUUACUGCAACCUGAUAUGGAAUGUUUGUACCGCUUGUACAGGAUAGGUAGGAGCCGAAGAGACGUGUGCGCUAGCAUACGAGGAGGCAAUGGUGGGAUACUACCCUGGCUGUAUGACCAUUCUAACCCGCCACGCUUAGCGCGUGGGGAGACAGUGUCAGGUGGGCAGUUUGACUGGGGCGGUCGCCUCCUAAAGAGUAACGGAGGCGCCCAAAGGUUCCCU
Molecule: ribosomal RNA, 1916 nt
Filed under: Listeria monocytogenes
Lineage: Bacteria; Bacillati; Bacillota; Bacilli; Caryophanales; Listeriaceae
Description: partial 23S ribosomal RNA
Rfam family: Bacterial large subunit ribosomal RNA
Source: RNAcentral